AAAUCCUAGACCCAACCUCAGAAGCGGCGCACCCUACUACUCCUUCAUCUUCUUCGUUUUCAACUCGCCUUAACUCGUUUCCUAGUUCACUCACAUGGUCCCCUCCCCUCCACGUCACCUUCAUUCCCAACGGAUUUGUCAUAAGAGUAUGAAUAUUCCCUCAAAAUCGCACGAUUUCGAUUACGAAAGGACGAUUUUCUAGAUGAAUGGAAGCCGUGAAUAGAUUUAAAUCAAUCCACGCCUUCCAUUUGUCCCAAAAUUGUUCAAAAAAAACUCGAAAAUUUAAGAUUUUUGGGCAGAUUUUUGAGAUUUUUCGAAGGCUGUAUAUAUGAGGUAAGUUCUAUGUGCUAGGUUAGAGGAAAAAUCGAAAAAAAAUCUUCAGAAAAAAUUUGAGUCAAGUUUCUAGGUUUGAAGUAAUCAUUUUCUUCAAGCCAUUUUUUCUUCAGUCUGCUUUUUUUAGAAAAGAUAUAAAAAAACAAAACAAAACAAAACAAUAUGGUCUAAGUUCGAUUUUGAUUCAAGUUUUUAGUUCAUUUUCGGAGGAAAAAUCAGAGACAAUUUUGGGGGUUUGGUAGUAAAAUUUCUAAUUCUCAAAGCUAGGGAUGUAUUGUUGAUUCCUGUCAAUUUUUGCCAUUGAUUUUGCGUUGGCUGGGCUCGAUUCAUAUUUUUCUGUCAUUAUUUGGUUGCUGCAACUUCCUUUCAAAUAUUAGAGAUCUAUUUUCUUCUGUGCGUUUUGUUGUAAUCAGCUAUUGCGUUUGGCUAAAAAAUAUAAAUAUUAUAUUUUUUAUAACGAAAAUCACGUGGGUGUAUCUUUGUUUAAAUUUUCCUAAACAUUCUGUGAGUUUGUAUAGAUAUCCAUUUCAUUUGAAUGUUGUAAUGCUGCUGAAAUGCUUAUUUCUUGUAUGAGAUUCUUGUUUGGAGUGUUGUCUAUUAAUUACUGUUGAGAUGAGAUGGAAUCAAGUUGACAUUAGCUAAAAAAUAUUGUAAUAUCUGCUUGGCCAUUAAGUUAAAUUCUAGCCAUGUAUACAUAAAAUAUGAUAUUGUUUGUCAUAUGAUGUACGAUUUUAUUACUUGAUUCAUAUUAUUAGCAACACAAGUGGAAGGAUCUGAGGCUCUUUUUUGGUUAAUUUUUUUUUCUAAAUGGAGAUGAACUUCACUUGUUAAUUUGAAACACUUCCUUCUAGAAACUGAGUAUCCUAUUGAUAACAAUUGUAUCUUCUUUUAGAAAUUUUAUCGAUUUAGUCAUAAAAGCCUAAAAGGAUACAAUUGUUUUCAUCUAUUUAGUCAUGAAGGUUGUGCUGCUUCUGUAUCUUUGCUCUCUACAUGUAUAGUAGUUAUUUUGGAGAAUAAUUUUUUUCAAGUAUAUUCCAGGCCAAAAAGCAGUAUGGUCCCGAAGUUUUUUUUGCAGAUUUGGAUUGUGUUAGUUGUUAAAAUAAUACUCUGGAACAUUGACUUAUAAAAAUGCUAAAAAAUGGCAAAAUAGUCCAAAAGCAAAAAAUAAUGAGAUUUUUUUCUUUUCGAGGAUUUGUGAUGAUUCAAAGUUUGAAUAGGGAAUUGUAAUUGAACAUAUUUGUAAUUUGUUUGGCCUUUAAUACCUUUCUUGGUUUUGUGUGUGAGUUUGAUUUCAUGGAUAUAUCAAUGAUUUGUAAAAAAUUAAGUUUAUGCUUUGUGCCAGGCGGCCCAUCCUUGCAUAUUCUGUCCAGAUCUAUUAAGAAACUAAUUAAGUUACCAAUCCAGAUUUCUUGGCCUUUAAAAUCAGUUACUAAAGCUCUUGAAAUCAUUACUCUCCUCUCCAAAACUCGUGAUUCAAUUUUAAAAUCAAAAGUUAUUGUAGAAUUAAUCAAAAUCUCAGUCUUUGCUUCUGUAGUGUUAAUGACUUGCAUUCAUAAUUGGUUUCGACUAAGGUUGCUACAAUUUCGACUGAAUCAGUGAACUUUGAGAGAUUCCCUUUGGAUUUAACUUGUUUAAUAAUGUUAAUGCAUCUCUUUCAGCAAAUGAAUUCCAUAUGGCUACAACUUUUACAACCGUAUUAAUUGGCCUCAACAACUCUUGAAUACCGUAGAUUACUUUAGGCGUGCAAUUAAAUUAUUAUAACUACGGGUAUGGUUCCCGUGACGUGGUUGUGAUAAUUUGUUUUAAAUUAAAUUAAAAUAGGAGUACCUUUAGUUUGCCUUUUAAAAUAUAUAACCAUUUUUCUUAAAAUAAUUCGAGGUGUGACAUGCUUUAAGCUUAUAACCCAUGGCCCUCAUCCAAUUAAUGAUAACCCUUUUAAGAUCGAUGUGUGCCAUUAUUAAAUUUUCUACGGCCCUCGCAAACUCUUAUUAAUUUAAACCAUCGUUUAUUUGCUUUAGGCCCGAUUUAGAUUAGUAUUAUGAUUAUAUAUACGUUCGCGUAAUAUUAUUGCAAUUUAACUCUAAAAGUAACUCAAGGGAUGCAUUCGCGCAACUUCAACCAAAUUUUUCCUAAUAAAAUAAAUGAAGUGUGAUUAAUUGUGAAUAAAAUAAACUUUUCCCAAAAGAAAAGAGUAUACAUACGCGUAACUCAAUUCUUUAAUUUUUCAAUAAUCAAGUGAUUAAAAGUGGUACAGAGUGAAAUGCACAUAAGUUCUAAAAAUGAGUAGUUAAAAACUUUAAGCCAAAUAAUAAUCACUAAGCGACCGUUCUAGAACAACGGAACCCAGGAAUGCAUAACACCUUCUCCCGGGUUAACAAAAUUCCUUAUCAAGAAUUUCUGGUUCGCAGACCUUUAAAUAAAAAUCGAAAUUUCCUCGAUUUGGGAUUAUAAAAUAAACCGGUGACUUGGGACACCAAAUAAACAAUUUCAAAUGGCGACUCAGAUAAAUUAAAUAAUCUCAUUUCGAAUAAUGUCACUUUAAUUGGAAAAACUCUCUUAUAUACCCUUUACGGGUAGUAAAAAGGAGGUGUGACACCAAUGUGGUGGCCGAUGCCUUGAAUCGCCGGGCAGAGAGUUUGGGGAGUUUGGCUUAUUUACCAGCAUUGGAGAGGCCUAUGGCAAUGGAUGUUCAGGCCCUAGCCAGCCAAUUUGUGAGAUUGGAUCUUUUGGAGCCCAGUCAGGUUCUAGCUUGCGUGGUUUCUUGGUCUUCCUUAUUUGAUUGUAGCAGGGACCGUCGGUAUGAUGACCCUCAUUUGCUUGUCCUCAAGGACAAGGUUCAGCACGGUGAUGCCAGAGAUAUGACUAUUGGUGAUGAUGGGGUAUUGAGGAUGCAGAGUCAGAUUUGUGUACCCAAUGUUGAUGGGCUUCGGGAGUUGAUUCUAGAGGAGACACAUAGCUCGCGAUAUUCCAUCCAUCCGGGUGCCAUGAAGAUGUACCAGUAUUUGAGAUAGCACUACUGGUGGAGGCGAAUGAAGAAAGAUAUAGUUGGGUUUGUAGCUCAUUGCCUCAAUUGUCAGCAGGUGAAGUAUGAGCACCUGAGACCGGGUGGGUUGCUUCAGUAGAUAGAGAUUUUGGAGUGGAAGUGGGAGCGGAUCACCAUGGACUUUGUAGUUGGGCUCCCACGGACUUUGAGGAAGUUCGAUGUCAUUUGGGUGAUUGUGGAUCGGCUGACCAAGUCCACGCAUUUCAUACCUGUGUGUACCACUUAUUCUUUGGAGCGGUUGACAGAGAUUUAUAUCCGGGAGAUUGUUUGUCUACAUGGUAUUCCAACUUCCAUUAUUUCAAAUAGGGGUACUCAGUUCACAUCACGGUUCUGGAGGGCCGUUCAGCAUGAAUUAGGUACUCGGGUGGAGUUGAGUACAACAUUUCACCCCGAGACGGACAGAUAAUCCGAGCGCACUAUUCAGAUUCUUGAGGAUAUGCUCUAUGCGUGUGUGAUUGAGUUUGGACGGUCUUGGGAUCAGUUCUUUCCACUGGCAAAAUUUGACUACAACAAUAGCUAUCAGUCCAGCAUUUAGAUGGCAACCAUACGAGGCUUUAUAUGGUAGGCGGUGUAGAUCCCAGGUGGGUUGGUUUGAGCCGGGUGAGGCUAGAUUAUUGGUCACAGACUUAGUUCAGGAUGUUUAGCAGAAGGUUAAGGUGAUUAAAGAUAGACUCCAUACAGCCCAGUCCAGACAGAAGAGUUACGCGGAUCGGAAGGUUCGUGAUGUUUCCUAUAUGGUUGGAGAGCGGGUUCUGCUUUGGGUUUUGCCUAUGAAGGGCGUUAUGAGAUUUUGGAAGAAGGGGAAGUUGAAUUUCCAGGUUUAUUGGCCCUUUUGAGAUAUUUAGGCAUGUUGGGAAGGUUGCUUAUGAGCUUGACUUACCUCCUAUCUUGGUAGGAGUUCAUCCGAUUUUUCAUGUCUCGAUGCUCCGGAGGUAUCACGGCAAUCUGUCGCACGUGUUGGAUUUCAGUUCAGUUCAGUUGGACAAGGAUCUAUCUUAUGUUGAGGAGCUAGUGACAAUAUUGGACAGGCAAGUCCUGAAGCUGAGAUCAAAGAACAUUGCAUCAGUGAAGGAUCAGUGGCGGGGUCAGCCGGUCGAGGAGGCGACCUAGGAGACCGAGCAGGAUAUGUGCAGCUGUUACCCUCAUCUUUUCACUACUUCAGGUAUGUCUCUAUGAUUUUAAGAAUUUACGCCUCGAUCCCCUAUUAACUGCUUUCCCCGUAUUUGUUUCUGCUAUUGGGAGUUGCCGGGAGGGUUUGUUUGGAGUUUCGGAGAGUUUUGGGACACUUAGUUCCUAACGGAGAGCUUAAGUUUUGGAAAUUUGACCAUAGUCGGAAUAAUGCGAAGAAGGCCUCGGAAUGGAAUUUCGAUGGUUCCAUUAAUGCCGUGGGUGAUUUCGGGUGUAGGAGCGUAUUCGGAUUGUGUUUUGGAGGUCCGUAGCUAAUUUAGGCCUGACAUGCCGAAAGUUGAAUUUUUAGGUUUUCGAUUCGAUAGUGAGAUUUUGAUCCGAGGGUCGAAAUGGAAUUCUGGAAGUUGGAGUAGCUCCGUAGUAUUAAAUGUGACGUGUGUGCAAAUUUUCAGGUCAUUCGGACGAGGUUUGAUAGACUUUUUGAUCGAUAGCGUAAAUUUAGAGUUUUGGAGUUCUUAGGCUUGAAUUCGUGGUUGAUUCGUCAUUUCGAUGUUGUUUUAGGUACUUUAUGUAUUGGUAUAAGUUUGGACAGUGGUAUUAGACUUGUUUGUGCUUUUGGUUGAGGUCCCGGGGGCCUCGGGAUGGUUGCGGAAGGUUAUCGGAAGAAUUGGGAGUUUGUUUGAGUAGCUUCAGCUACUGAUCUUCUGUCAUAACUGCACCUUCGGUUGAAUCCCGCAGGUGCGUAGCCGCAUAAGCGGUGGCAUCAUCACAGAAGUGGAAAAAGGGAGAAACAGCAGGAUCCGAAGAAGCAAGAGCUUUACCGUAGAAGCGGUGUCGCAUCUGCGUAUGGGGAGUCGCAGGUACGGAAAGCUGAGUUUAGUGAAUUGUCCCAGAUGCGACCUUUGUUCCGCAAAAGAGGGACCAUAGGUGCAGUCCCAUGACCGCAGAAGCGGAUUAGCUGAGUAUAACAUAUAAAUAGUUGCCUUCACGAAUUUGAGUUAUUUUCACCUUUUCUCAAAUAGGAAGAAGCCUUGAAGAGAAUUUUCAAGGGAGAUGUUUCAGAGGAAUUUAUUGGGGUAAGGUAUUUGGUCCCUAAACUCAUUAUUAAGGUGAUUUUUAUCAUUAUAAGCAUGAAAAUUUAAGGAAAAUCAGUGGUAAUUUGGGGGUUAGGGCUUGAUUAAUUAGAGACCUUUGAGUGAUGAUUUGAGUGACUAUUUGAGGUCUAAUUUUGGUACUUUUUUAUGACUGAACUCGUGAGAGUGUGAGGAUUCUGGAAAUAUAAAUUUUAUCCGAUUCCGAGAUGUGGGCCCAAGGGGCGUUUUGGUCAUUUUACCUAAUUUCGCGUAUUAGCAUAGAAUUUCUUUGUAGAAUCAAUUACUUGAAGUGUUAUUUAUAUUAUGCAAUUGAAUUGAAUAGAUUUGGGUAAUUUGGAGUCGAGUACUCAUGGAAAGAAGGUGGUUUCAGGUUGACUUUGAGCUGGUUUGAGGUAAGUGGCUUGCCUAACCAUGUGUGGGGGACCUUCCCCUUAGGAUUUGGUAUUAUUGAUAAUUGAAAUGCCUUGUACGUGAGGUGACGAGUGCGUAUUUGUGCUAAUUCUUGAAAAUCCGAUUUUCAUUAAGUAAUUACUAGUAUGUUUCCUUUCAUGUUUAUAUUACUUGCAAUUUAAGCCUGUUGUUAGCUUAGGAAAGCAUGUCUAAUUGAAUUAACUGCCUUACGUGUUCAAACUGCCUUAUUUGGAUUACGUGCAGCAUGCUAGGUUAGAAAUACCAGUUUCACCUUGGUAUGGAGCUUGAAUUGAAUUGUGUACUCUUCUUGUUAUUGUUGUGUGUUUACUUUAGGACUACGGGACGGUAUGCCGGGAGAUCCCCUUGUAUGUUUACUUUGGAACUAUGGAACGGUAUUUUGGGAGAUUCCCCUGCACAUUUACAUUGGAACUACGGGACUGCACCCGAUAGAUUCCCCAUGUACUGAGUAUUUAUAUUUGGGACUACAGAUCGAUUUUUCAGUAGAUCCCCUCGCAUUAUGAGUUAGACUACGGGACGGUGUCCAGGGAGAUCCACUGGACAUUUACAUUUGGGACUACAGGACGGUACCCUGGGAGAUCCCCGGUUGUUAUCUUUGUGUUGAGUUGUGUUUCUUUCUGUGUUUACUUUGCCUCUGUAGUAGUUGCUACUAUCAUUUAUAUCCUGUGUUACUUUUACUGUUGUACUUAUUUAUAUUGUUUUAUUCUACAUUGUUGAACCUUAUAUUUUAUUUAACCUCAGUAGGGCCCUGACCUUCCUCGUCACAAGCCGACCGAGGUUAGGCUAGGCACUUACUGAGUACCGCUGUGGUGUACUCAUGCCCCUUUCUACGCAUGUUUUUCAUGUGCAGAUCCAAGUACUUCUACUCAGAUUUAUCACGCUUGAGACGAGACUCUGAGGUAUAUCUAGCGCGUCUGCUGACCGAAGAAUCCCUUUCUACUCCCCCCUUUUGUAUUAGACCUUCUGUACUUUCGUUUCUUUAUUAGAGAUUCUGGAGUUAGAUGUUUGUAGACAUUCAAAGGCUUGUGAUCAUGAGAUUCCAGGUUUUGAGAAAUGUAUUAGUUUUCUAGAGUUGA
This 7103-nucleotide long non-coding RNA is filed under the name Nicotiana tabacum (common tobacco). RNAcentral describes it as "long non-coding RNA (NTAB_LNC009093)". Lineage: Eukaryota; Viridiplantae; Streptophyta; Magnoliopsida; Solanales; Solanaceae. The record is from RNAcentral.